UACGACGGGGGCUAGCGUUGUUCGGAAUUACUGGGCGCAAAGCGCACGUAGGCGGAUCGAUCAGUCAGGGGUGAAAUCCCAGGGCUCAACCCUGGAACUGCCUUUGAUACUGUCGAUCUGGAGUAUGGAAGAGGUGAGUGGAAUUCCGAGUGUAGAGGUGAAAUUCGUAGAUAUUCGGAGGAACACCAGUGGCGAAGGCGGCUCACUGGUCCAUUACUGACGCUGAGGUGCGAAAGCGUGGGGAGCAAACAGG
This 253-nucleotide ribosomal RNA is filed under the name uncultured bacterium. RNAcentral's name for it is "partial 16S ribosomal RNA". It matches the Rfam family "Bacterial small subunit ribosomal RNA", at positions 524 to 776 of the family's 1533-position model. The record is from RNAcentral.